This 95-nucleotide non-coding RNA is filed under the name uncultured Eubacterium sp. RNAcentral describes it as "THF riboswitch". It matches the Rfam family "THF (Tetrahydrofolate) riboswitch aptamer". From Rfam's summary of the family: THF riboswitch presents a pseudoknot that joins P1-P2 and the loop of P3 and two THF binding. Lineage: Bacteria; Bacillati; Bacillota; Clostridia; Eubacteriales; Eubacteriaceae. The record is from RNAcentral.
GCAGAGUAGAAUGUUAUGCGUUAAGUGCCGGGUGUACAGGGAGUUGACAUGCGGACGAAGAGAUAACUCGCGGUGUGACAUUCGCAUCCCGCUGC